AGGAACAAGGAGGAAUAGCAACUAUUUUGUCGAUAUUAAUCGACAAUCCAAUCGAACCGGUAACUAUUGAUGCUAAGCAAGACAAAAAAUCUCCAAAACAGAGAAAAGGGAAAGAAGGAGGUAAACCUACCAGAGGUGCAAGUUCAAAAGG
This is a long non-coding RNA of Octopus sinensis (East Asian common octopus), 151 nucleotides long. RefSeq lists it as uncharacterized. The transcript is spliced from 2 exons. The record is from RefSeq and is a predicted model, not a curated record. NCBI's taxonomy places the organism in Eukaryota, Metazoa, Mollusca, Cephalopoda, Octopoda, Octopodidae.